GUGCUCCCUUCGGCAGCACAUAUACUAAAAUUGAUACAGAGAAGGUUAGCAUGGCCUCUGAGCAAGGAUGACAUGCAAAUUUGUGAAGCAUUCCAUAUUUAA
Small nuclear RNA from Otolemur garnettii (small-eared galago), 102 nucleotides. Lineage: Eukaryota; Metazoa; Chordata; Mammalia; Primates; Galagidae. The record is from Ensembl.